This 476-nucleotide ribosomal RNA is filed under the name uncultured Methanolinea sp. Its description in RNAcentral is "bacterial SSU rRNA". It matches the Rfam family "Archaeal small subunit ribosomal RNA", at positions 862 to 1338 of the family's 1478-position model. The record is from RNAcentral. Lineage: Archaea; Methanobacteriati; Methanobacteriota; Methanomicrobia; Methanomicrobiales; Methanoregulaceae.
UAGAAUUGACGGGGAGCACCACAACGGGUGGAGCUUGCGUUAAUUGGAUUCAACGCCGGAAAUCUUACCGGGACCGACAGCAAUAUGAAGGCCAGGCUGAAGACUUUGCCGGAUUAGCUGAGAGGUGGUGCAUGGCCGUCGUCAGUUCGUACUGUGAAGCAUCCUGUUAAGUCAGGCAACGAGCGAGACCCACGCCAACAGUUGCCAGCAUGUCCUCCGGGAUGAUGGGGACACUGUUGGGACCGCCUCUGCUAAAGAGGAGGAAGGAAUGGGCAACGGUAGGUCAGCAUGCCCCGAAUUAUCCGGGCUACACGCGGGCUACAAUGGUCAGGACAAUGGGUAUCGACACCGAGAGGUGGAGGCAAUCUCCUAAACCUGUCCUUAGUUCGGAUUGUGGGCUGCAACUCGCCCACAUGAAGCUGGAAUCCGUAGUAGUCGCGUUUCAAAAUAGCGCGGUGAAUAUGUCCCUGCUCCUU